CAUAUCAUUCGCCGCGUUGGUGCUCGCGCCGCAUCAUGUCGGCGCAGUUAAACGGGAAUCAGGAAGGGCCGUUCCCACGGAACCCGCCCCCACCUGAGCUGCCCCCGCAACGGUAAGCGGACGAAGCCUCGCGCUUCACUCGUGUACAGAAUCCACUGGGCCUGAUCGGUCUGGGAAGGAUGACACGGGAGGUCUGUCAGCCCGGAUACCGGCCAACAGGGGGUCGCGCCU
RNAcentral lists this non-coding RNA (231 nucleotides) under Caldimonas brevitalea. The record is from RNAcentral. Lineage: Bacteria; Pseudomonadati; Pseudomonadota; Betaproteobacteria; Burkholderiales; Sphaerotilaceae.